UAGUCUGUGUCUGAUUCUCUUCUCUCUACAUCCAAGUGAAACUCUCCAACCAGAGGUUGGGUAUGGCAUUUGAGCUAGAUGUGGAAUUAGGAUUCAUCUAAAAGGACAUGUUUACUAAAUUUUUAGAACCAAAUAAGGACUCUGAGGGAGAAGGCAAACAAAGAAAAGCAGAGGGUAGAUAGAGGACACUCGGAACAGAAGAGAAGGGAGACUGGAAAAAAAGGAAAAGUGCUCAGAAGAGGAGCCGAGGCCUUGACUACGUAGAACCCUGGAGCUAUGAUUUGGACACGAUUGUCCACCCAGAGGCCAGUUCCCAGCCCCUCAGCAGCUGCAUGCAGCCAAGUGAGGAAUGUUUGCCAGAGGAAAUGUGAGCAGAAGGAUGUGGAAAUGAGGCUACUGAGCUCCCCCGGCUGUCACCUGCUCUCAUUAUAAAGAAAAUUUGUGCUCUUCUCAGUGAUGUCACUGCAAAGCUAAUGGCCAGGAAGGUGACAGAAGGGGCUCGUGCUUGGAACAUUCUGUUCCUAAGAAUCAGAUUUCCUGGGGAAAUUAGGCUGGAACAGGAGAGUUUUGGAAAACAUGCUUCAGUUCAGCUUUCAAAACAAGAACAAAGGGAAAAUAAAAACAAAAGAUGAGAAAACCACA
Long non-coding RNA from Cynocephalus volans (Philippine flying lemur), 642 nucleotides. RefSeq lists it as uncharacterized. Lineage: Eukaryota; Metazoa; Chordata; Mammalia; Dermoptera; Cynocephalidae. The record is from RefSeq and is a predicted model, not a curated record. The transcript is spliced from 2 exons.